CCUUCUGAGAAGGCGGUGCGGCCGCAAGCUGCUAAGGUUCCGCUCUCGAACCCGUGCGUCCUUCCCGACGAGGUCCCUGCGCGGCCCGACCCAGUGCAUAGAAGUAACUAAAAAACAAAUAUUAUGUGUCUGAGCCCCAGCAAGAUUAUGUGACUUCAUAAAAAGAUAGUAUGGCUGGCUCCAUGGAAGAGCCAAGGGGUUGCUUGAAGAGGAUUUAUGCAUCCCACAGACACCUGACAGGCCUAUUCUAAGGGCCCUUGGACAGACUUACCCUGUUCACCCAUGCCUCAGAUGUCCUUCCUGCCUUGGGACAUAUACCUGUCUUCGUGACCCACCCUUUUUAUCAACAAGAUAACUACAAAUAAGGUAGAUUAUUGAAAUGCUGCACGGCAUAGCCUCUGCCAAAAUGAAGAGUUCACUUUUAGAACUUUAUCCUAAGAAAAUCA
Molecule: long non-coding RNA, 446 nt
Organism: Neomonachus schauinslandi (Hawaiian monk seal)
Lineage: Eukaryota; Metazoa; Chordata; Mammalia; Carnivora; Phocidae
Exons: 3
Source: RefSeq, a predicted model, not a curated record